GAAAUGUGAUAAGUAAUGUGAAUUGCAGAAUUCAGUGAAUCAUCGAAUCUUUGAACGCACAUUGCGCCCCCUGGUAUUCCGGGGGGCAUGCCUGUUCGAGCGUCAUUUCACCACUCAAGCCUCGCUUGGUAUUGGGCGACGCGGUCCGCCGCGCGCCUCAAAUCGACCGGCUGGGUCUUUCGUCCCCUCAGCGUUGUGGAAACUAUUCGCUAAAGGGUGCCGCGGGAGGCCACGCCGUAAAACAACCCCAUUUUCUAAGGUUGACCUCGUAUCAGGUAGGGAUACCCGCUGAACUUAAGC
Molecule: unclassified non-coding RNA, 300 nt
Filed under: plant metagenome
Description: partial contains 5.8S ribosomal RNA, internal transcribed spacer 2, and large subunit ribosomal RNA
Rfam family: 5.8S ribosomal RNA (bases 1-105)
Source: RNAcentral